RNAcentral lists this ribosomal RNA (313 nucleotides) under Salmonella enterica subsp. enterica serovar Bovismorbificans. RNAcentral's name for it is "partial 23S ribosomal RNA". It matches the Rfam family "Bacterial large subunit ribosomal RNA", at positions 2614 to 2925 of the family's 2925-position model. The record is from RNAcentral. Lineage: Bacteria; Pseudomonadati; Pseudomonadota; Gammaproteobacteria; Enterobacterales; Enterobacteriaceae.
GAACGUCGUGAGACAGUUCGGUCCCUAUCCGUCGUGGGCGUAGGAAAUUUGAGAGGAGCUGUCCUUAGUACGAGAGGACCGGGAUGGACAUACCUCUGGUGUACCAGUUGUCGUGCCAACGGCAUAGCUGGGUAGCUAUGUAUGGACGGGAUAAGUGCUGAAAGCAUCUAAGCAUGAAGCCCCCCUCAAGAUGAGAUUUCCCAACUUCGGUUAUAAGAUCCCUCAAAGAUGAUGAGGUUAAUAGGUUCGAGGUGGAAGCGUGGUGACACGUGGAGCUGACGAAUACUAAUCGAUCGAAGACUUAAUCAAAAUU